UAAGAAGGUGAUACGAAUGCCUUCUAUUCACUGUGCCAUCUUGUUAGUCGUAGAUGAUCAGAGGGGAAAAGAACGGCUAGAAUAAUGUAAAUUUAUAACUUAUACUCAUGAGCGUCCUCAUACUGUCCGGGGUAAUUUGUGGUAGUAAAAUACCCUUCCCAUGGCUCUGGUCGGUAACUGCGCAAGUGAGACAACU
Molecule: small nucleolar RNA, 196 nt
Filed under: Torulaspora delbrueckii CBS 1146
Lineage: Eukaryota; Fungi; Ascomycota; Saccharomycetes; Saccharomycetales; Saccharomycetaceae
Description: Small nucleolar RNA snR8
Rfam family: Small nucleolar RNA snR8
Source: Rfam by way of RNAcentral